Molecule: non-coding RNA, 159 nt
Organism: Pelobates cultripes (western spadefoot toad)
Lineage: Eukaryota; Metazoa; Chordata; Amphibia; Anura; Pelobatidae
Source: the annotation of a GenBank genome assembly
GCUGACACAUCCCAGCCAAUCUCCAGCAGACCCUCCCUCCCAGACCCUCCUACUUCCUGGACAGCAUCCAUGUUGAAGCUGCCUUCAACAUGGAUGCUGUCCAGGAGGUGGGAGGGUCUGGGAGGGAGGGUCUGCCGGAGAUUGGCAGGGAUGUGUCAG